GCCCCCUUCCCCCGCCUGGCCACUCAGCUCCAUUCUCCCGCCUUCCCUCAGGCCCUACCCAGCCCCCUUCCCCCGCCUGGCCACUCAGCUCCAUUCUCCCGCCUUCCCUCAGGCCCUGCCCAGCCCCCUUCCCCCGCCUGGCCACUCAGCUCCAUUCUCCCGCCUUCCUUCAGGCCCUGCCCAGCCCCCUUCCCCCGCCUGGCCACUCAGCUCCAUUCUCCCGCCUUCCCUCAGGCCCUGCCCAGCCCCCUUCCCCCGCCUGGCCACUCAGCUCCAUUCUCCCGCCUUCCCUCAGGCCCUGCCCAGCCCCCUUCCCCCGCCUGGCCACUCAGCUCCAUUCUCCCGCCUUCCCUCAGGCCCUGCCCAGCCCCCUUCCCCCGCCUGGCCACUCAGCUCCCUUCUCCCGCCUUCCCUCAGGCCCUGUCCAGCUCAGCCCCCUUCUCCCCGCUGCCCACUUGGCCAGUCUAUCCCCCGGUCAGCUGCCUCUGGCCGAAGCCAUUCCCACCCAGUUACUGGCGUUAGUCACUCCACGCUGAGACCACCCUGUGGGGCGCUGUGCUCAUGGUGCCCCGUGGUUGCGCUCGGAGCGGGAAGGCCAGGUGCUGCCCGAUGUAAAAGCCCAUCAGUUCAUUGUGAAAUCACAGAAUAAAUUUCUGAUACAAAUGGUGCCAUGAACAGGGAGAAAGAAGGAAGACAACAAGUUGGGGGCACUUUCAGAAUGGCUGUUGUAGAGGAUAACGAGUCUGGAUCAUAAUGGCAAUUAAGAUGUCAACAACUCUUUCAGUGCUGAUAACUUUAGCAUAAACAUCUAGAGAAUGUUCCUGUUCCACAACCACAAACUAGCUUCCAUGCCUCCUCAGAUGUGUAAACCAAGCUGCCAAAACAUCCAACUUCUAGCAAUGUGCUGCAUUAUCAAUAUAUAACUGCGCAGCACACUGAAGACUGCACAAUGUAAAAUAAAGUUUAAUAUAAAGAUGAUGACAACCAGUACAGCAGCAUCUUCAUGUUCACAUUUUUUUUGGCACAUAAAACCUGCAAUGCUGGAACAGACCAGUGGUCCCUGUCUCUACAGUGGUCAUUUCUGAGUACUUCAGAAGAAGAUGCAAGAAACUGAAGAAGGCAGUUUUGAAAAACUUGUCCACAAUAGUAUAAGUCGUCAUUCCUGUAAAAUCUCUUUUUUUAAAAUGAAUGGAGCUGCCACUGAAUUUCCGGUCUGUUGAAGCAGAAUGUCACAAAAUUCAGAGACAUUGCAGCAGACUGGACUUACAGCCUGCGUCCAAGUACCUGAGGCUUUGAUUUAUACAUGACAAAGAUGAAGAAUCAUCACACUUGCUACUCAACUGUAAAAAAUUGACACCAUAAUUUUUUUCUCUAAAAUAAUUCUUUAUUGUGCUGAUCAACAUUUUCCUUCUCAUUUUGAGGUUAGAAAGCUGGUAUAGGAAGAAGUAAUUUCUUUCAAAUUAAUAUUACUGAAUCAUGCCACAAAAGCUCAAAACAAAAGCUGCAUUAAUUAUUCCAAAGCAACCAGGAACCCUUGGUGUUUAUUUAAUUUAACAGUAUAAAAAACAAUAGAAAAGGUUACAUAUGAUUUUGAAAAGGUAAUAUUUUAAUAACUAUAUUUCAUUUCUGGGAUAGGAUAAUCAUAAAAAUGAUGGUAUAAUGCUUUAAAAAUUAAAGUCUGUACACAACCAUUAUUAAAAAAAGCAACAGUUAUGGA
This is a long non-coding RNA of Gopherus evgoodei (Goodes thornscrub tortoise), 1717 nucleotides long. RefSeq lists it as uncharacterized. Lineage: Eukaryota; Metazoa; Chordata; Testudines; Testudinidae. The transcript is spliced from 4 exons. The record is from RefSeq and is a predicted model, not a curated record.